ACAACCAACACGUUCUCCCCACACGACUCUCUCGUUCUCCCCACAGCCAGGUCUCCAGCUGGGGUGGACGUGCCCACCAGCUGCCGAAGGCCAAGACGCCAGGUCCGGUGGACGUGACAAGCAGGACAUGACAUGGUCCGGUGUGACGGCGAGGACAGAGGAGGCGCGUCCGGCCUUCCUGAACACCUUAGGCUGGUGGGGCUGCGGCAAGAAGCGGGUCUGUUUCUUUACUUCCUCCACGGAGUCGGCACACUAUGGCUGCCCUCUGGGCUCCCAGAACCCACAACAUGAAAGAAAUGGUGCUACCCAGCUCAAGCCUGGGCCUUUGAAUCCGGACACAAAACCCUCUAGCUUGGAAAUGAAUAUGCUGCACUUUACAACCACUGCACUACCUGACUCAGGAAUCGGCUCUGGAAGGUGAAGCUAGAGGAACCAGACCUCAUCAGCCCAACAUCAAAGACACCAUCGGAACAGCAGCGCCCGCAGCACCCACCCCGCACCGGCGACUCCAUCUUCAUGGCCAC
Molecule: long non-coding RNA, 524 nt
Filed under: Homo sapiens (human)
Lineage: Eukaryota; Metazoa; Chordata; Mammalia; Primates; Hominidae
Description: non-protein coding H19:16
Source: RNAcentral